Molecule: long non-coding RNA, 5943 nt
Filed under: Prunus persica (peach)
Lineage: Eukaryota; Viridiplantae; Streptophyta; Magnoliopsida; Rosales; Rosaceae
Description: long non-coding RNA (PPER_LNC002808)
Source: RNAcentral
UUUUUUUUAAAGCUAUAAACUACCAAAGAUUCGAUUAGUUCCGUGUGAUUACACCACCGUACGUAAUGUUACUAAUUCACUUCAUAAUAUUAUGCAACAACAGACUGUCACACCUAAGAGGGAACUGCAAAAUGAGGGAUAUACAGUGAGAAGCUAACAAUUUUGGGUCACUUACUGAAAUGAAAUAUGGGGUUUAAAUUUUGGUCAUUGCUCUGUUUUUGGCAUUUGUGAGAAAUCAAUCCAGAUCAUAUAUGUUUGUUUCCGGAGUCUGUCACGUGAACGAGUCUCAGAAGCCAGUUCUAAUUUGGAUAUAACAGCUAGAGAAAACUGGCUAGUUAUACAACUUUGGAAGUCUCAGCUGGUAAGCGAAGGAGGUCAGAUUUGCUACUUUAGUACUUGGUCUAAUUUAUCUGCUUUAGCUGGUACUUUUGAAAAUGAAAUGUUAUAAGUGUGUACAAACAAAAUACCAUAAAGCCAUCUUAAUUAGUAGAUCAUGAAUAAGCCAAGGCUGAUCAAUAUGAAAAGAGAGAACGUUAAUGUAAAAGGUAUACACCUGUGACAUGUAAGUUUCUCUCGAACGUUAACGUCAAAGGUAUACACCUGUGACAUGUAAGUUUCUCUCGAACGUUAACGUAAAAGGUAUACACUGCAUAACAUAUAUAAAUUUCUCUCAUUGCCCAUAGUAAGAUAAAAAGAACUCAUAAAAACCAAGAAUUAUAUGCAAGUCAAGAAUACAGAUAAACAAACCUCUCCUAAUGUACUUUGUCUUCCAGUGCCUAGGCUCAUCGAAGCUUAAGUUUGACCUCUUCCUACUAUGGGGUUGACCAAUGUUCAUACCCCAUACAAAUGUACCUGUAGAACUGCAAAUUAACAGCAUCAUCAUCUUAUAUAUAUAUAUAUAUAUAUUACUUUUAAUUAAUUUCCUUUGCAACUGCAAGUAGUUCUUGUUUGGUUGGUGAUUCUCGGACCGUCCUUGAUGUUAAUUCUUAAUUAAUCCUAUAUUAAUUAUCAAUAAUUUAGUUCAUAUAAGAUAAUAAAGUAAAUAUUAGCACGACUAAAUAAAGUCCUAUAACUGUUGUUAUCUUGAAAUCUCUACAUGUUAUGUUUUUUUCUGUUUUUAUUCUCCGGAAAAUUAAAUAAUUAUAAAUAAAUAAAAACUAAGUCAGCCUCCUGUCUUUGGUGUGCAAAAUAUUAACAAUCCUCAAAGCGACUACGUGAUGACAUGUGGACAAUUGUUCAGCGUCCAAUGUGAUAAUCAAGUUGGAGUAAUUUGCAUGGUUUGAGUCUGUGACUGCAGAAAACAAACCUUAUUCUUAUGUUGUUAUUUGAGGGAGAGUUUAAAAAUAAAAAAUAAAAACAUUAUGGUUGACCAGGUGGAAAUUCGGGAGGUCAAAGUAGGAGAUUGUCAUUUAGGUCUUGUUUUCAACCUUGAAAAAAUGAGUUGAAAUUCAUUUACAUGAAUGAGUCUUCUUCCCCAUGCAAAUAUAUUAUUAUGAGAUUUUGCAUGGUCUACGGUUUGGGUGUAUAUUUUAAUGAGCUUUGUGAAUCUAUACGGUCUGUAUUUUUAUGAAGUCAAUCCUCUCUCUCUCUCUCUCUCUCUCUCUCUCUCUCAAAUCGAAAUCCAAUUUAUUAUAAGUUAGCCAUAUGAAUGAAUCGUCAUGUUUACGAUAACCAUUUGCAGGCCUUUAUAUAAAAGGAAAUGCUACUUCGCAUGCACAUAUAAUUAGUGUUCUAGAAACAAUUAAUAAUUCUAUGUUAUUUUGAAGUGAAUAAUAACCACAACUUAAUUUGGUUUUGUUGCCGAAGUUUGGAAGGGAGAGUAGGAAAAACUCACACACAGGUAUCAUGAGAGGUUUAAAAAAUAGAGAAUUGUGAAUGAUACAUAAAAAAGUUAUUAUGGACUUGUUAAAAUGCAACUUUUCUCUAACAUUUUCAUACGAGAGGAAUGCAUGAUGACUUUUUAAUGUUAAUAAUUUGUUGAAACAUAUUAUAAAAAGUAAAGUUUUAUAUUUAUUGUGACAUAAUAAAAUGGGACUAUAAACUCAUAACUAUAUCACUUAAUUUAUUCCUCAAUCUCAGACAAAUCAUAGUAGUAAUCUAUUCACCAAUUUCAAUCUCCUUUAAUAACCAAAUACAAAUACAAGUACCCAAUUUGGGCUGCAUAAUUCCCGCCCGAGCUUUAAUGGGGCCGUUGCAUGAAGACAAUGGGCCUGACAGCGAAUUCGAUCCUAAGGAAACGACGACGUGUUGAACCAAAUAAGGGUCCGUAAGGGCAAUUCAGUAAAAGGCGCCCUCAUUCCCACCAAAUAUAUGUGCUCGGUUUCACUAACUCGUUCCUUCUUAAGCCCUAGAAACCCUAGCUCUCGGAGGCGCCUCUGCUGAUAUUGCGCAUCUUUUCUGGUACGUGAAGACUUCACUCUAAAACUUCAUUCUCUUCAUCAAUAAGUGAAACUGUUUCGAUCUGUGUUCCUUUUGAGGCUCUUAUUUGUUCAUGUAUGACCCUUUUCAUUUAUUUUGGAUGAUUUUUUGAGGUGUAGAGUUGAUCCUAACACAUCUAGAUCUAUUGGAUAUUGCUUUGAUCAAUUUGGUUUCAAAUAUGUUUUGAUUAGGCGCCUGUGUAGUUGUGAUUUAUGAUUUGAUGUGUUUCUCUGGAUUGAAAUGCUGAAACUUUUUUUCUGCUCAAGGCCAAUUGUUUGUUUUGUGUUUUAUUUUUGUAGGAAUAGAUGUUCUGGAAUUGGGUUUAACAAAUUAUGAGUCUUAAACAAACCACAAUAGUUGUUUAUUGAAUCUUGAUUAAUAUGUUUGACCCAGCUAGAAAUGGGAAAAGGGAUCAAACUACCAAUAUGGUGGUUGAUUGCGUUUAUUAUAUAAUUAGUUAGACUGUAAGAUUUGACAAGUGAAUCUGUGUAAUUCUGGUCCCAUUGAGUAGGAACACAUUGAAAUGAGGUUUCUAGUUACAUGUUUCUGUUUGUCUCAUUUGUUUUACUUGAUUUUUUUGGGUGCAAAACCCGAUGAUCUUAAUGAAUUCUUUUUAUAACAUGCAGAAGCGACAAUGGUGAGAGUUAGCGUUCUGAACGAUGCGCUCAAGAGCAUGUACAAUGCAGAGAAAAGGGGCAAGCGCCAGGUCAUGAUCAGACCAUCAUCCAAGGUCAUCAUCAAGUUUCUUUUGGUGAUGCAAAAGCAUGGUAUGUAUCUUUUAUUUAAUUCUUAUAUUCGCCACUUAAAUAAUUUCCCAGUUGUUUCUUAGUUGAAAAUUUUCUGAUUAUAUAGACAUUUAUGCUUUUGUUUCUCUCUAUAGGAUACAUUGGUGAGUUCGAGUAUGUUGAUGACCACAGGGCUGGUAAAAUUGUGGUCGAACUGAAUGGACGGCUUAACAAAUGUGGGGUUAUCAGCCCUCGUUUUGAUGUGGGUGUUAAGGAGAUUGAAGGCUGGACUGCAAGAUUGCUUCCAUCUAGACAGGUUAGCCAGUUGUUAUCAGUUAACUAUUUCAAGCCUAGAAACGUGUAUAUUUCUUGAUGGGUUCCUGUUGAGUAAUAACAUUGUAGUUUGGAUUCGUUUAACAUGUAUAUUUUUUCAAUUAAUUUUUAGAAUGUAGAAAGAUGUGCAGGAUUAGGUCAUUAUAUUUGGUUGAUCAUGUUAGUGGUGGUGAUUCAUAUAGCUCUGUAGUUGGUUCCCAUUUGAAUCAAACGUUGAGAUAUCCUGUAAUAUGGUUAAUGUGUUAUAGUAAUCUAGAACCCUUAUAUCGAUUUCUAGUCUGGUUUGGAUGUCUCAUUUGAUUCCCUUAUUAUAUCGAUUUCUAGUCUGGUUUGGAUGUCUCAUUUGAUUCCCUUAUUGCGUUUCAUGGUGUGCAACUGUGUCAUUGUGCACAUAGCUUAUUCUGCUGGGCUUAUGGUUUUUUGCUUGAACUUGCAGUUUGGAUACAUAGUGCUGACAACAUCUGCUGGCAUUAUGGAUCAUGAGGAGGCUAGGAGAAAGAAUGUUGGUGGUAAAGUGCUUGGUUUCUUUUACUAGGCAAGGUUUUUUCCAGGAAUGAGAAUUGAGUUUUCCCGCUAAUGAAGAGCUUUUGGGUGUACUUUUGAACAUCAUAGGUUACUUCUAUGUUUCAAUUUGUGUUUGUUUUGAAUGCUAAUAGAGGUUUUUACUGGAAUGUUAUUUGCUAGAAUUUAUCUUUAAGUGUUUGGUUAUCCAUAGUGCAUCUGGUGGUUGUGGCCUCAGUCUUAAAUUAUCUUAUGAAAUCCAACAUUUUUGCAUCCCGCAGAAUAAUUUUGAAUGGCUAGGUUUUUAUCGCAAUAAUGAAUGAAUAGAAGUUGUUGUGUUGCAGGCGGUGCUUUGUUUUCUGCAUGUCAUGUAGAGACGUUACUUUUCCGGGUUUUAAUGGUAUUUGCUUAUGCAUAUGGUUUUCAAAAAGGAAAUUAGCAUCUCCUUACCGAUCAGUUAUCUGCUAUUUAAAUGCGGUGCAGUAUGACUACAAUUUCUGUUUCCCUUGCUGUCUACUACAUACAUUUCUUGGGUGGGCUUGAGAAUUAUAAGAGCCGACGAAUUUUAUUUUUUUGGCUUCAAAGUCAGAGAAUAAAAAAGAUUUUAUUCAUGUUGUAAUGAUUCGUUCUCGAGGUUGUUGUCAACCUUUCCACAAAGUUUCGUCAUGGUCAAGUUUGGGUAAUCAAAAUUGCUUGUGCAGACUGUAAAACCAUCCAAUUACUGAUACGUCUUCAGUUUAAAUGACAUGGGAAAUGAUUUCUCAUCCAAUCCUGUCCAUAAAUCAAACAAGACCUAAGAUUAGGCGGGCAAUAAUCAGGGACGUUCAAAUUCCAAUCCAUUGUGUUCAAGCAACUAAUUCGUCUGCUAUUUUUGUUUCAAUGAUUCAACAGCGAGUAAUUCGAUCUGUUAUUUAAUGUUUUUUUGGUCUAACAUGGGAUUCUCAGCUUAAAUGGUUAAGAGCUUACAAGGGACUUGGGGGAGCUUAAGCUUAUGCAUGCGACAUGGUUUUGUUUAUUUUUUUUCUUCAUCUUCUUCAAGGUUGGUUUAAGGUUGGCAAUUAGCUUUUUUAGAAAGGAGGGGAAGGGGACAAGAGUGAUAACCAUCAAAUCAUACAACUACUUUUUUUCGUGCUUCAUGUCCUCUUAACAUCAUUAUUUGCAUCGCUUUCAACCUCUACUCAAUUAAUGGUCCGCAUGGAUCUUAGACAUCCCACAAUUAAAGAUUCAUGCUGUGGUUAAUAUAAACACAAAAAAACACACUAUAUAUAAAAAUUAUUACAAAAUUACAUACAAACCCAAGAGAGAGAGAGAGAGAGAAAAAAAAAAAAAAGGAAAGAAGAGAGAGAGAGGAGUUAUGUAACGUUUGAGAAUACAAGAGAGAGAGACUACAUGAACCAGCCGAAGAUCUUUAUUAGGAGGAGAGAAUGCUAAUGAAAUAGCAUUAAGGGAAAGAGAAACACAAAGAGAAACACACACUUGUUGAAAAACUGCCAAAGAUCUGUAGUUGCCCUACCAUCAAAUCAAAGCCAACAUGACUUGUUCAAGUUUCAAUUAGCUAAGCUUUCUUUGUCGUCUGCACUGCAUCAUCAUCGUCGCCUUUGUUGGUAGUAGUAGUAGUAGCAACAAAACCACCAACUUCACCACCGACGGUAUCACCGCCGCUCCCGACUUCCAUCGGUGGCCGGACGACGAAGAAGUAGCAGAGAUGAAUGAGAUGAUGCAGAAGCAACAAGACGAGAGAAUGUGUUGUUGAUAGAUGUUGGAAGAGGUUACAAAGAAAGAGCAAUGUGUUGUGACGUUUUGUAGGUGCAGGGAAGGUGGGUGGAGGAUCUUCUCAGCAUAUGCUCUAAGCAUAACUUCCUUUUGUGUUCCUUUCUAUAGUACCUUUUUCCUCACUGUUCAUUGUUUUCAAUUACUCUUUAUUAUUUUUUAUUUUGGCUACAGUGUUCCUAACUCUUGAUCCAAC